This 251-nucleotide ribosomal RNA is filed under the name uncultured bacterium. RNAcentral's name for it is "partial 16S ribosomal RNA". It matches the Rfam family "Bacterial small subunit ribosomal RNA", at positions 524 to 776 of the family's 1533-position model. The record is from RNAcentral.
UACAGAGGUCUCAGCGUUGUUCGGAUUCAUUGGCGUAAAGGGCGCGUAGGCGGCACGGCAAGUCAGGAGUGAAAGCCCGGGGCUCAACCCCGGAAUGUCUUUUGAAACUGCCGAGCUAGAGUGCGGAAGAGGCAACUGGAAUUCCCAGUGUAGCGGUGAAAUGCGUAGAUAUUGGGAAGAACACCUGAGGCGAAGGCGGGUUGCUGGGCCGACACUGACGCUGAUGCGCGAAAGCCAGGGGAGCGAACGGG